AGAGUGAACGCUGGCGGUAGGCCUAACACAUGCAAGUCGAACGGCAGCACAGGAGAGCUUGCUCUCUGGGUGGCGAGUGGCGGACGGGUGAGGAAUACAUCGGAAUCUACCUUUUCGUGGGGGAUAACGUAGGGAAACUUACGCUAAUACCGCAUAAGACCUUCGGGUGAAAGCCGGGGACCUUCGGGCCUGGCGCGGAUAGAUGAGCCGAUGUCGGAUUAGCUUGUUGGCGGGGUAAAGGCCCACCAAGGCGACGAUCCGUAGCGUGGUCUGAGAGGAUGA
This 282-nucleotide ribosomal RNA is filed under the name uncultured soil bacterium. Its description in RNAcentral is "partial 16S ribosomal RNA". It matches the Rfam family "Bacterial small subunit ribosomal RNA", at positions 26 to 303 of the family's 1533-position model. The record is from RNAcentral.